UGCGUAGGUGGUUUCUUAAGUCAGAGGUGAAAGGCGGGGGCUCAACCCCCGGACUGCAUUGGAAACUGCUGAUCUUGAGUACCGGAGAGGUAAGCGGAAUUCCUAGUGUAGCGGUGAAAUGCGUAGAUAUUAGGAGGAACACCAGUGGCGAAGGCGGCUUACUGGACGGUAACUGACGUUGAGGCUCGAAAGCGUGGGGAGCAAAUA
Molecule: ribosomal RNA, 207 nt
Filed under: uncultured bacterium
Lineage: Bacteria
Description: partial 16S ribosomal RNA
Rfam family: Bacterial small subunit ribosomal RNA
Source: RNAcentral